AUUGAACGCUGGCGGCAGGCUUAACACAUGCAAGUCGAACGGAGUGGCGGAAGGGUGAGUAAUGCUUGGGAAUCUGGCUUAUGGAGGGGGAUAACGACGGGAAACUGUCGCUAAUACCGCGUACCAUAGGAUGAGGCCAAGUGGGAUUAGGUAGUUGGUGGGGUAAUGGCCUACCAAGCCGACGAUCUCUAGCUGGUCUGAGAGGAGGACCGGCCAAACCGGGACUGAGAUACGGCCCGGACUCCGACGGGAGGCAGCAGUGGGGAAUAUUGGACAAUGGGCGAAAGCCUGAUCCAGCAAUGCCGCGUGUGUGAAGAAGGUCUUCGGAUUGUAAAGCACUUUAAGUUGGGAGGCGUUACCAACAGAAUAAGCACCGGCUAACUUCGUGCCAGCAGCCGCGGUAAUUC
This 407-nucleotide ribosomal RNA is filed under the name uncultured bacterium. RNAcentral's name for it is "partial 16S ribosomal RNA". It matches the Rfam family "Bacterial small subunit ribosomal RNA", at positions 30 to 526 of the family's 1533-position model. The record is from RNAcentral.